Molecule: ribosomal RNA, 768 nt
Filed under: Halarchaeum rubridurum
Lineage: Archaea; Methanobacteriati; Methanobacteriota; Halobacteria; Halobacteriales; Halobacteriaceae
Description: partial 23S ribosomal RNA
Rfam family: Archaeal large subunit ribosomal RNA
Source: RNAcentral
AUAGGUAGGAGCCGGUACAGAGGUACCCGCGCUAGCGGGCCACCCAGGCAUCAGUGAAAUACUACCCGUCAGUGACUGUGACCCUCACUCCGGGAGGAGAACACCGGUAGCCGGGCAGUUUGACUGGGGCGGUACGCGCUCGAAAAGAUAUCGAGCGCGCCCUAAGUUCGUCUCAUCCGUGUCGGAGACACGGAGAAGAGUGCAAGAGCAUAAGACGAGCUGACAGUGUCCUCCACAACGAGGGACGCUGACGCGAAAGCGUGGUCUAGCGAACCUAUGAGCCUGCUUGAUGCGGGCCAUAGAUGACAGAAAAGCUACCUUAGGGAUAACAGAGUCGUCACUCGCAAGAGCACAUAUCGACCGAGUGGCUUGCUACCUCGAUGUCGGUUCCCUCCAUCCUGCCCGUGCAGAAGCGGGCAAGGGUGAGGUUGUUCGCCUAUUAAAGGAGGUCGUGAGCUGGGUUUAGACCGUCGUGAGACAGGUCGGCUGCUAUCUAUUGGGGGUGUAUUGGUGUCUGACGAGAACGUUCGUAUAGUACGAGAGGAACUACGAACGGUCACCACUGGUGUACCGGUCGUUCGAGAGAGCGCGUGCCGGGCAGCUACGUGACACGGGGUAAGAGCUGAACGCAUCUAAGCUCGAAACCCACUUGGAAAAGAGACACCGCCGAGGUCACUCGUAGAAGACGAGGUGGAUAGACUCGGGAUGUACGCGCCGAGGCAACGAGGCGUUGAGUCCGCGAGCACUAACGACCGAAGCCACACAUUC